CAGAGGGUGCAAACGUUGUUCGGAAUUACUGGGCGUAAAGCGCGUGUAGGCGGCUUGGCAAGUCGGGUGUGAAAGCCCUGGGCUCAACCUAGGAAGUGCACUCGAAACUGCCUCGCUGGAGUGCCGGAGAGGAAAGCGGAAUUCUCGGUGUAGAGGUGAAAUUCGUAGAUAUCGAGAGGAACACCGGUGGCGAAGGCGGCUUUCUGGACGGUUACUGACGCUGAGACGCGAAAGCGUGGGGAGCAAACAGGAUUAGAUACCCUGGUAGUCCACGCCGUAAACGAUGGGUGCUAGGUGUCGCGGGCUUUGACUCCUGCGGUGCCGUAGCUAACGCAUUAAGCACCCGCCUGGGGAGUACGGCCGCAAGGCUA
Molecule: ribosomal RNA, 371 nt
Filed under: uncultured organism
Description: bacterial SSU rRNA
Rfam family: Bacterial small subunit ribosomal RNA
Source: RNAcentral